GGCCUCAAAUCAGGUAGGACUACCCGCUGAACUUAAGCAUAUCAAUAAGCGGAGGAAAAGAAACUAACAAGGAUUCCCCUAGUAACGGCGAGUGAAGCGGGAAGAGCUCAAAUUUGAAAUCUGGUGGACUUUGUUCAUCCGAGUUGUAAUCUAGAGAAGUGUUUUCCGUGCCGGCCAAUGUACAAGUCCCUUGGAACAGGGCGUCAUAGAGGGUGAGAAUCCCGUACUUGACAUUGAUCACCGGCGCUCUGUGAUACAUUUUCAAAGAGUCGAGUUGUUUGGGAAUGCAGCUCAAAAUGGGUGGUAAAUUCCAUCUAAAGCUAAAUAUUGGCGAGAGACCGAUAGCGAACAAGUACCGUGAGGGAAAGAUGAAAAGCACUUUGGAAAGA
Molecule: ribosomal RNA, 389 nt
Filed under: Zyzygomyces bachmannii
Lineage: Eukaryota; Fungi; Basidiomycota; Tremellomycetes; Filobasidiales; Filobasidiaceae
Description: LSU rRNA
Rfam family: Eukaryotic large subunit ribosomal RNA
Source: RNAcentral